AACCAUUCUCACCUGCGGCUAGACCUGCGGAAGGAUCAUUACAGAGUUAUCCAACUCCCAAACCCAUGUGAACUUAUCUCUUUGUUGCCUCGGCGCAAGCUACCCGGGACCCCGCGCCCCGGGCGGCCCGCCGGCGGACAAACCAAAACUCUUGUUAUCUUAGUUGAUUCUCUGAGCGUCUUAUUUAAUAAGUCGAAACUUUUAACAAUGGAUCU
Molecule: unclassified non-coding RNA, 215 nt
Filed under: soil metagenome
Description: partial contains 5.8S ribosomal RNA, internal transcribed spacer 2, and large subunit ribosomal RNA
Source: RNAcentral